This 45-nucleotide non-coding RNA is filed under the name Schistosoma mattheei. Lineage: Eukaryota; Metazoa; Platyhelminthes; Trematoda; Strigeidida; Schistosomatidae. The record is from RNAcentral.
AUCCAGCUGAUGAAUCCCAAAUGGGAUGAAACGCGCUUCCUGGAU